CUCGAUUCACCAGGACCGCUUGAU
This 24-nucleotide non-coding RNA is filed under the name Arabidopsis thaliana (thale cress). Lineage: Eukaryota; Viridiplantae; Streptophyta; Magnoliopsida; Brassicales; Brassicaceae. The record is from RNAcentral.